This 403-nucleotide ribosomal RNA is filed under the name uncultured organism. Its description in RNAcentral is "bacterial SSU rRNA". It matches the Rfam family "Bacterial small subunit ribosomal RNA", at positions 346 to 761 of the family's 1533-position model. The record is from RNAcentral.
GCGCAGCAGGCGCGAAUUUUCACAAUGGGGGAAACCCUGAUGGAGCGACGCCGCGUGGAGGAUGAAGGCCCUCGGGUCGUAAACUCCUGUCAUGCGGGAACAAGAAAGUGAUAGUACCGCAAGAGGAAGAGACGGCUAACUCUGUGCCAGCAGCCGCGGUAAUACAGAGGUCUCAAGCGUUAUUCGGAUUCAUUGGGCGUAAAGGGUGCGUAGGUGGCGAUGUAAGUCUGGUGUGAAAUCUCGGGGGCUUAACCCCGAAACUGCAUUGGAUACUGCGUUGCUUGAGGAUUGUAGAGGAGAGUGGAAUUCACGGUGUAGCAGUGAAAUGCGUAGAUAUCGUGAGGAAGACCAGUUGCGAAAGGCGACUCUCUGGGCAAAUUCCUGACACUGAGGCACGAAGGCC